Molecule: non-coding RNA, 172 nt
Filed under: uncultured Niameybacter sp.
Lineage: Bacteria; Bacillati; Bacillota; Clostridia; Lachnospirales; Lachnospiraceae
Description: Lysine riboswitch
Rfam family: Lysine riboswitch aptamer
About the family: Riboswitches are metabolite binding domains within certain messenger RNAs that serve as precision sensors for their corresponding targets. Allosteric rearrangement of mRNA structure is mediated by ligand binding, and this results in modulation of gene expression.
Source: RNAcentral
AAAGAUAGAGGUUGCGGGAUUUAAAAGUAAGUUUGUGGAGUUUGAGCAAACAGUGAAACAAACCUAAAGGAAAGACCGCCGAAACCUAUAGCUGAAAGCUUUAAGGCUAUAGAGUUGGGGUUAUGUAGAAUAUGCAUAACACUGUCAUAAAGUUAUUUAUGAUGAGCUAUCA